CGGAGGGUGCAAGCGUUAUCCGGAUUUACUGGGUUUAAAGGGUGUGUAGGCGGGUCUUUAAGUCAGUGGUGAAAUCUCCGAGCUCAACUUGGAAACUGCCAUUGAUACUAUUGAUCUUGAAUUUUGUUGAGGUAGGCGGAAUAAGUCAAUGUAGCGGUGAAAUGCAUAGAUAUGACUUAGAACACCAAUUGCGAAGGCAGCUUGCUAAACAAAUAUUGACGCUGAGGCACGAAAGCGUGGGGAUCAAACAGGAUUAGAUACCCUGGUAGUCCACGCCCUAAACGAUGAUUACUCGACAUACGCGAUACACAGUGUGUGUCUGAGCGAAAGCAUUAAGUAAUCCACCUGGGAAGUACGACCGCAAGGUUG
This 369-nucleotide ribosomal RNA is filed under the name uncultured organism. RNAcentral's name for it is "bacterial SSU rRNA". It matches the Rfam family "Bacterial small subunit ribosomal RNA", at positions 526 to 896 of the family's 1533-position model. The record is from RNAcentral.